AUUUCCUCACUUUGUGAUUUGAACUGAUUUGUGUGCUUCGAUUAUUUGCCUAGCUUGAAUCUUUUAGCAAAAAUAUAGUUUAGAAUAAAAGUUUACUUUUGAUUAUGUACGCGAGUCCUAUUGCGCUUAAUUAACUUUCUCUGAAUAUUUAUUUGCAACUAAAAACUCCAUGUUGACGUGCUCUGUUUGUUGCUGUGCAUAUUUGUUAGUGGAUAAUAUAAAUCCAAUAUUUUUUUCGGUGAUAUUGUACAUUUAAAAAAAAAAGUGUGUAGUGACUUAUAUAAAAAUUCAAAUGAUAAUAGUUAAUGUGUUAUCGAUGAGCGAUCUUGGCGUUUGUGUCCGAACUUGUCGGAAUGAUGUUGAUUAUCAGUGCCUUAAUAACUGGGAUGGUGACCGGUCUUCAGAACAUUACGACCGAGUCUCCAUCGAUGAUCAGUGACAUCACAACAUCAUUGAAUACGAAGAAUAAAGUUCCAGAAAUGGGGCUGGUUGAACCCACUAAGCUAUCUCUACCCACUAGUGACAUGGUGAAUGUCAGUAUUCACGACCAGCCGUCUAUGUGGGAUUUGUACUUGCACCACUGUUCCAAGUGGAGGCCAAUAAAUCACAUAUUUUUCCAAGUGGCGAAUAUAUUCUUUCUUAUGUCAUUCCUGGCACCUCAUACAGACAUUGGGCAAAUAUGGCUUCGGGUGGGCCUGAUGAUGGGGUGCGCGUUUUCAGGAAUGUGGGCAUGGAGUGUUGAAUGUUACUUGGAUGCAGUGCUAUGGAAUAGUGUAUUUAUAUUGAUAAACUUUGUGUAUUUCUCUUACCAGUUUUAUUUAAUGAGACCAAUUAAGUUCCACAAGGAGAUUGAAGAGGUGUACUUAGCGUUGUUCAAACCACUACGGGUAUCAAGGAGACAGUUCCGCCGAGUGCUCAUGUGCAUGAGAAAUGUGAGGCACCUCAAGUGUCACGAACUCUAUGCACAUGAGAAGGUUACUAAAGUUGACAGCCUUUCGUUGGUGCUUUCGGGCAAGCUUGUGGUGUCACAGAAUCAGCGAGCUCUCCAUAUAGUGUUUCCUCAUCAUUUCUUGGACUCUCCCGAGUGGUUCGGCGUUUCGACUGACGAUUAUUUUCAGGUGUCUAUAAUGGCGAUGGAAGAGUCUAGGGUGCUGGUCUGGCAUAGAGAUAAGCUGAAACUAUCAAUAAUGUCGGACGCUUUCCUGCAAGCGGUCUUCGAUCAUAUCCUCGGACGGGACGUGGUUCACAAAUUGAUGCAGGUAAGCGAAACGAUGGCAGUCAGCAACGGUCACCUCCCUAACAGCUAUGAAGAGGGAGAGGACAAGCCGAUGCUGGUCGUGAAGAAAGCUGGCGAUGGACCUGGAAUCACCGCGAUACUCAACAGGCAGCUUCAAGGCGAGCAUGCGCCGUUACUGCGAGCCACGCCGACGACUCAUGAAUGCUGAAGCUGCCCAGCAACCUCCCAUCGCUCCCAAUACAUUUUACAAUUCACUGCUAUCUCCUUACAUUUCGAUUUAUCCUUUUGUUUCCUACCUACCAGUAUCCUCAAGGAGCUAUUCUCGUUUUACCCUAAAAUAUUCUAUAUCCACCCAACUUCUUCGAACACCAUUAUUCCUAAAAAAAAACUAUCAUGUAUAUUUUUUACUACAUUAUUCUUUUUUUAUAUAAACAUAGACAAUAAAUCCAAAAUUAUAGACAAGUAUGAACACUAGCAUAGAUUUUCAGUCUAUACUCGCCAAGUUUGACCUUGAGAUUUCUAACAAGUAAUAAUAUAUACCAAAAUAGCAAAGUAAUGUAUUUUUAUUCUUCGAUAACAAAAUGUACUUUCUUGCUAUAAUUUAAAUGUCGCGUGAAUUGUAAAAUGUACCAUUACAUCCUUUCUAUCCCAAUUGGAAGAAUAUGUAUAAUCUAAAAAAAAAAACAAUUAUUCAAUAAUUCGUUGCAGCUUUUACACUAUGUCACUAGACUAAUAUACCACCUGAUCUCAACCAUACUACCUGAUAUACUAUUUGGCCAUAAUAUAUUAUACUAUCUAUGAGAAUGGAAAUGGAAACUGGGCACCUGUGGGCCUACCAAAAGCCUUUAAUUCUCUGCGCUAUGUACCGUAUGUUCCAUGGGGAGUAGGUGUUCUGAGGAACUAUCUGAGAUGGUCCCAUAUGCUAUACCACUGCCAAGAACCUCGGCACCGGAGCAAUGUGAAUCCAUAGUACCUGGAAGCACUGCGUUCGUCCACAGCGCAUUUCCAAAGAACCAUUUGCCCCAUACCAUUCGGCUGCAGAUAGAACUUUCCUGUACGCUGUUUCCUGAGCGUUAUAACUUACAAAUGUAUUUUUUCGAAAGAGGCUUAGCAAUGUCUCUAGAAUUACCGACGGCCAUAAGCGACGGCGUCCACUUGCCGUCAGAUUGAUCGUAUUAUUGUCUAUUUAGAAACAAACACAAUAAUAACUUGAACUUGUAAUUUCCGUUUGCUAGGCUAUCUUUCUAAAUCUAAAUAUUCUGUAACUACGAACUUUGAAUCUUGUUUAGCUUAGCUCUGAGAGAGACAAUGUUAAUCUUAAAUAAAUAUGAUUUAGAGUUCUUUACCACUUUAAAUUAAACGGUUUUUUCUGAAUACAAAAAAUGCCUUUGAAUCCUGGCUAGUGUUUGAAGGCAGAAUAUGGUAUUUAAAUAUAAUUGAAUUUGUGACAUAAAGUCAUAAUUAUUGCAAGCUGCCUUUUCUUGCGCACUAGAAUUUUAGAAUUUUACUACUAAUAAAAGUAUAAAAAUACUCAUUCUUAUCCAUGAUUUUAACUAUUACGAUACCAAGUAUUUUAUAUGUUACCUAAUAUAUUAGCUUAUUAGUUUCGCACAUAUGUAUAUGAUCCCAUAGUCCUAUCCCUUAGUCCGAUCCCCUAGCAUGUUUGGAAGAUCGACAUAUGGAGCAACAGAUCCGAAUGCGUGGCGUCUAGGUCGGAUAGACGAGACGGACCACGAAACGCCCGUCUGAGGAUGCGCGCUGCACGUGUCGGUGCGACCGCUGCGUGCCAAGCCCUGCAGACUUUAGUGUGAAGGCGCCCUUGUUUCAUUCCUUAUAUUCAUUGUGUAGGUACUCGAUUGUGAUGUAUUUAAAAAUUACGUUAAAUGUGUGCGCUUCAAGCUUAACGCGAAAUGUAACUAUUUUUAUUGUACUUUCAUUCAAUUAUAUGUUGAAAUAAAAUCAAUUUUUCUUAAAACAGAUUUCAAUAUUAAAACGGAACUCGCUAAUCGAACUAAAAACGUUCAAAAUUUUACUUAUCGAAUAUUAUUUUUUUUAUAUUUUUUUGGUGCCUUAGAAGUUCCGUGUUAAUAAAGAAAUCGCGAAAAAAUAGUACCGGGUAAAUGGUUUUUUGUUGUAUGAAAUUUGCAACAAUAAUGUUACCUGUUAAAAUACAGGGUGUUCGGAAACUUGCCGUUAUAGGACGAAAACUGAACAGAGUUAUGUUUGUGAUCAGCGGGCUCUGGUAUAAAUACGACUUUUACAUAAAGGUCUUAGUUACCAGGUCAUAAAAUCCAUUAAAAAAAAAAAAGGAUGAAUACGUCAAUUCUAUUGGUGAACCCGAGCCUGUUGAGGCAAAAUGUCUCUUGGUCGUUACAUGACCGUGGAUGAUGAUUAAUGUAAUUUAAUGAUUGCGAUUUUAUGCGUGUUACAACAGGAGUCACUAGCUACCUGUCUUCGGUUUCGGAUAACGGUUCAUUGACCCAGUGUAUUUAAAUGAUGAUUUAUCAUAGUUUUUACCCGACUGCACUAGAGGGUAGUUUUUUUUCGAGUGUUGUAUGUAUAUUUCUUUUGCGCUCUGUAGCUUAUGCGUCUGUAGCUUAUAUACCUCUAGAUACCGUUAGAUUCGUCUUAGUUGUGAAAGCGAGAUACGCUAAUCAUAUAACAACGUCUGUGAAACGAAUGGAGAUUAUUAAUAAUAUAUUUAUUAUAUAUUAAUAAUAUACAACUAUUUCAAAUAACGCAAAGAAAUCCACAUACAAAAAAUAUUUUGAAUAUGAAACCCCCAAGUUAAACAAACAGCCACACUUAAAGGUACUGUUGGUUCUUUUUGUGUACAAAGAAACGUAAAUGUCAAUAGAUAUUUUUUUAUAGUUUAUUAGACGGUAAUUCAAAAAACGACGAAUAAGUCGUCCUUGAACCACUAAAACUAAAGAAACAUCGAGAAUAAUUAAAAUGAAAAGAGUAAAAGCGAUAUUAAAAAUUAUAAAAUGUAUAUAAUAGUGCGUGAAACUUGCACCAGUCGGUUUAUUUUUUAUAAAUAAAUGUUUGGUUUUUUUAUUCAUUAAAAAAUACAUAUCCUUACAGCUGUUCAAGAGUGUUGCAUCGAAAGUAUAUAACGUUCAAUGUCGCAAUGGGUGCUAUCAUAAUAUCACGUACUUUAUUUAAAUUAGUAUACAACAUGAAUAUUAUAUUAUGUAUAUCGAAUCUGAUCUCGUCAAUUGAUUGUCCCAAAUAAAAUAUAGAAUUGUAGUAAAUAUUUUAAAUGUUAAAAGUGUAUCACUCAUAAUUCGAAUAGACAACUUCAGUUAAACGGGACAUAAACGCGGAUAAGAAUUUUAUU
Molecule: unclassified non-coding RNA, 4577 nt
Organism: Bombyx mandarina (wild silkworm)
Lineage: Eukaryota; Metazoa; Arthropoda; Insecta; Lepidoptera; Bombycidae
Source: RefSeq, a predicted model, not a curated record